RNAcentral lists this ribosomal RNA (495 nucleotides) under uncultured bacterium. RNAcentral describes it as "partial 16S ribosomal RNA". It matches the Rfam family "Bacterial small subunit ribosomal RNA", at positions 28 to 507 of the family's 1533-position model. The record is from RNAcentral.
GACGAACGCUGGCGGCGUGCCUAAUACAUGCAAGUAGAACGCUGAAGGAGGAGCUUGCUCUUCUGGAUGAGUUGCGAACGGGUGAGUAACGCGUAGGUAACCUGCCUGGUAGCGGGGGAUAACUAUUGGAAACGAUAGCUAAUACCGCAUAACAGUAGAUGUUGCAUGACAUUUGCUUAAAAGGUGCAAUUGCAUCACUACCAGAUGGACCUGCGUUGUAUUAGCUAGUUGGUGGGGUAACGGCUCACCAAGGCGACGAUACAUAGCCGACCUGAGAGGGGGAUCGGCCACACUUGGACUGAGACACGGCCCAGACUCCUACGGGAGGCAGCAGUAGGGAAUCUUCGGCAAUGGACGGAAGUCUGACCGAGCAACGCCGCGUGAGUGAAGAAGGUUUUCGGAUCGUAAAGCUCUGUUGUAAGAGAAGAACGAGUGUGAGAGUUGAAAGUUCACACUGUGACGGUAUCUUACCAGAAAGGGACGGCUAACUACGUG